Molecule: ribosomal RNA, 471 nt
Filed under: uncultured bacterium
Lineage: Bacteria
Description: bacterial SSU rRNA
Rfam family: Bacterial small subunit ribosomal RNA
Source: RNAcentral
GCAGAGCAUCCUACGGGAGGCAGCAUUGGGGAAUAUUGCACAAUGGGCGCAAGCCUGAUGCAGCCAUGCCGCGUGUAUGAAGAAGGCCUUCGGGUUGUAAAGUACUUUCAGCAGUGAGGAAGGUGGGUAUGUUAAUAGCAUAUUCAUUUGACGUUAGCUGCAGAAGAAGCACCGGCUAACUCCGUGCCAGCAGCCGCGGUAAUACGGAGGGUGCGAGCGUUAAUCGGAAUUACUGGGCGUAAAGCGCAUGCAGGUGGUUUGUUAAGUCAGAUGUGAAAGCCCGGGGCUCAACCUCGGAAUUGCAUUUGAAACUGGCAAACUAGAGUACUGUAGAGGGGGUAGAAUUUCAGGUGUAGCGGUGAAAUGCGUAGAGAUCUGAAGGAAUACCGGUGGCGAAGGCGGCCCCCUGGACAGAUACUGACACUCAGAUGCGAAAGCGUGGGGAGCAAACAGGAUUAGAUACCCUGGUAG